AAUAUUGCGCAAUGGGGGAAACCCUGAUGCAGCGACGCCGCGUGAGCGAAGAAGGNCUNNGGGUCNUNAAGCACUGUUCUAAGNNNNNAAACGGACGGGCCACGAGGACGAAGCCCCGGCUACCUACGUGCCAGCAGCCGCGGUAAUACGUAGGGGGCGAGAGUUAUCCGGAAUUAUUGGGCGUAAAGGGUGCGUAGGCGGCCUUUUAAGGCAGAUGUGAAAGGCUACGGCUUAACCGUAGUUAGCAUUUGAAACUAAAAGGCUUGAGUGCAGGAGAGGAGAGUGGAAUUCCUAGUGUAGCGGUGAAAUGCGUAGAUAUUAGGAGGAACACCAGUGGCGAAGGCGACUCUCUGGACUGCAACUGACGCUGAGGCACGAAAGCGUGGGGAGCGAAC
This 395-nucleotide ribosomal RNA is filed under the name uncultured bacterium. RNAcentral describes it as "partial 16S ribosomal RNA". It matches the Rfam family "Bacterial small subunit ribosomal RNA", at positions 360 to 773 of the family's 1533-position model. The record is from RNAcentral.